Molecule: ribosomal RNA, 370 nt
Filed under: Epinephelus merra (honeycomb grouper)
Lineage: Eukaryota; Metazoa; Chordata; Actinopteri; Perciformes; Serranidae
Description: partial 12S ribosomal RNA
Rfam family: Bacterial small subunit ribosomal RNA
Source: RNAcentral
CUCACCUUUCAUAGUCAUCCCCGCCUAUAUACCGCCGUCGCCAGCUUACCCUGUGAAGGCCCCCUAGUAAGCUUAAUUGGCACAGCCCAAAACGUCAGGUCGAGGUGUAGCGUAUGGAAAGGGAAGAAAUGGGCUACAUUCCCUGUUACAGCGAAUCACGGAUAAUAAUACUGAAACGUGCAUCUAGAAGGAGGAUUUAGCAGUAAGCAGAAAGCAGAGCGUUCCGCUGAAAUUGGCCCUGAAGCGCGCACACACCGCCCGUCACUCUCUCCAAACAUGUCUUUUUAAAUUUAACUUAAAACUUUCCACUAACACAAGGGGAGGCAAGUCGUAACAUGGUAAGUGUACCGGAAGGUGCACUUGGCAAAAC